GAUGGAUUAGAGGGAGAAAGUUCCCCAUGAAACGGACGGGAACUGGCAUACGGGAUAAGAGGGAGAGAGAAAGAGAGGGAUGUCGGUGGGCGGAGCCAGGAGGGUCGUUAGCGAAACGGGACUCACCUGGGCUUGGGUGUGUCCCGGAGAUAAAUACACCUUUCCCCCAUACAUUGAAGAGACUCUCUCCACAUAGACACUGUUGUUUUUGGUUCUGGCGAUUUGGGGCUUCUUUGUGUUCAUUUGUUUUGGCACCUCUCAACACCCCUCAUUAUCACCAUCUAUGCGCACAACCACUCACACUACUGACUAC
RNAcentral lists this long non-coding RNA (313 nucleotides) under Salmo salar (Atlantic salmon). RNAcentral's name for it is "lncRNA (ENSSSAG00000089825.1, ENSSSAG00020055939.1, ENSSSAG00075059768.1)". The record is from RNAcentral. Lineage: Eukaryota; Metazoa; Chordata; Actinopteri; Salmoniformes; Salmonidae.